This 433-nucleotide ribosomal RNA is filed under the name uncultured bacterium. RNAcentral's name for it is "partial 16S ribosomal RNA". It matches the Rfam family "Bacterial small subunit ribosomal RNA", at positions 29 to 507 of the family's 1533-position model. The record is from RNAcentral.
AACGAACGCUGGCGGCAUGCCUAACACAUGCAAGUCGAACGAGACCUUCAGGUCUAGUGGCGCACGGGUGCGUAACGCGUGGGAACCUGCCCUUAGGUUCGGAAUAACUCCCCGAAAGGGGUGCUAAUACCGGAUAAUGUCUUCGGACCAAAGAUUUAUCGCCUUUGGAUGGGCCCGCGUUGGAUUAGCCAGUUGGUAGGGUAAAAGCCUACCAAGGCGACGAUCCAUAGCUGGUCUGAGAGGAUGAUCAGCCACACUGGGACUGAGACACGGCCCAGACUCCUACGGGAGGCAGCAGUGGGGAAUAUUGGACAAUGGGCGAAAGCCUGAUCCAGCAAUGCCGCGUGAGUGAUGAAGGCCUUAGGGUUGUAAAGCUCUUUUACCCGGGAUGAUAAUGACAGUACCGGGAGAAUAAGCUCCGGCUAACUCCGUG